This 339-nucleotide unclassified non-coding RNA is filed under the name soil metagenome. RNAcentral's name for it is "partial contains 5.8S ribosomal RNA, internal transcribed spacer 2, and large subunit ribosomal RNA". The stretch from base 1 to 120 matches the Rfam family "5.8S ribosomal RNA", at positions 35 to 154 of the family's 154-position model. The record is from RNAcentral.
GAUGAAGAACGUAGCGAAAUGCGAUAAGUAAUGUGAAUUGCAGAAUUCAGUGAAUCAUCGAAUCUUUGAACGCAUCUUGCGCUCCUUGGUAUUCUGAGGAGCAUGCCUGUUCGAGCGUCAUUAUCAACCCUCAAGCCUGGCUUGUUGUUGGACCUCACCUCGUCAAGAGAUGGGCCCAAAAGGCAAUGGCGGCGUCGUGAUCGACCCCCGGUGCAACGAGCUUUGUAGCACGCACGGUGCCGGUCGGUUCGGCCCGGUCUCAAAUAUGUUAUUUCUCAAGGUUGACCUCGGAUCAGGUAGGAAUACCCGCUGAACUUAAGCAUAUCAAUAAGCGGAGGA